GCCAGCCCGCUCAGAAACUCAAAGGAAGUUGACGGGGCCCGGCACAAGCGGAGGAGCAUGUGGUUAAUUCGAUGAUACGCGAGGAACCUUACCUGGGCUCGAACGUAAGAUGACUGUAGGUGAAAGCUUACAUCUCUUCGGAGCAUUUUACGAGGUGCUGCAUGGUUGUCGUCAGCUCGCGCCGUGAGGUGUCGGGUUAAGUCCCAUAACGAGCGCAACCCCUACCUUUAGUUGCCAUCAGGUUAAGCUGGGGACUCUAAAGGAACUGCCUACGCAAGUAGUGAGGAAGGCGGGGAUGACGUCAAAUCAGCACGGCCCUUACGUCCAGGGCUACACACGUGCUACAAUGGCCGAUACAGAGGGCAGCUACCUGGUGACAGGAUGCAAAUCUCCAAAGUCGGUCUCAGUUCGGAUCGGAGUCUGCAACCCGACUCCGUGAAGUUGGAUUCGCUAGUAAUCGCGCAUCAGCCAUGGCGCGGUGAAUACGUUCCCGGGCCUU
Molecule: ribosomal RNA, 499 nt
Filed under: uncultured Sphingobacteriales bacterium
Lineage: Bacteria; Pseudomonadati; Bacteroidota; Sphingobacteriia; Sphingobacteriales
Description: bacterial SSU rRNA
Rfam family: Bacterial small subunit ribosomal RNA
Source: RNAcentral